RNAcentral lists this ribosomal RNA (511 nucleotides) under uncultured Enterobacterales bacterium. Its description in RNAcentral is "bacterial SSU rRNA". It matches the Rfam family "Bacterial small subunit ribosomal RNA", at positions 29 to 528 of the family's 1533-position model. The record is from RNAcentral. Lineage: Bacteria; Pseudomonadati; Pseudomonadota; Gammaproteobacteria; Enterobacterales.
AUUGAACGCUGGCGGCAGGCCUAACACAUGCAAGUCGAACGGUAGCACAGAGGAGCUUGCUCCUUGGGUGACGAGUGGCGGACGGGUGAGUAAUGUCUGGGAAACUGCCCGAUGGAGGGGGAUAACUACUGGAAACGGUAGCUAAUACCGCAUAACGUCGCAAGACCAAAGAGGGGGACCUUCGGGCCUCUUGCCAUCGGAUGUGCCCAGAUGGGAUUAGCUAGUAGGUGGGGUAACGGCUCACCUAGGCGACGAUCCCUAGCUGGUCUGAGAGGAUGACCAGCCACACUGGAGCUGAGACACGGUCCAGACUCCUACGGGAGGCAGCAGUGGGGAAUAUUGCACAAUGGGCGCAAGCCUGAUGCAGCCAUGCCGCGUGUAUGAAGAAGGCCUUCGGGUUGUAAAGUACUUUCAGCGAGGAGGAAGGCGUUGUGGUUAAUAACCGCAACGAUUGACGUUACUCGCAGAAGAAGCACCGGCUAACUCCGUGCCAGCCGCCGCGGUAAAAGGG